UCCAGGAGAAUCCAAAGGCGUGGUGGGCGACAGAACCAUGGCGGACGCGGAGAAAAACGCUGUUGCGGAGAAAAACAACGCUGUUGCGACGAAAGAGGUUCUAGCUGAGGCAGCAGCCAUUCUAGAACCUGUAGGCUUGCAGGAAGAAGCAGAGCUGCCUGCCAAGAUCAUGGAGGAGUUUAUGAGGAACUCGCGGAAGAAAGACAAACUGCUUUGUAGCCAGCUUCAAGUAGUGAACUUCUUACAGGCUUUUCUGGCUCAGGAGGAUACUGACCAGAACGCAGAUGCUUUGGCUUCUGAAGAUGCAAGUCGGCAAAAGGCAACUGAAACUAAGGAGCAGUGGAAGGACAUGAAGGCCACAUACAUGGAUCACGUGGAUGUCAUAAAAUGUGCCCUGUCUGAGGCCUUACCCCAGGUUAAAGAGGCUCACAGGAAGUACACAGAGCUUCAGAAGGCUUUUGAGUAACUCGAGGCUAAGAAGCGGGUCCUUGAGGAGAAACUUCAGCUGGCUCAGAAGCAGUGGGUACUGCAACAGAAGCGUCUGCAGAAUCUGACAAAGAUUUCUGCAGAGGUCAAGAGGCGCCGGAAGAGGGCUCUGGAGAAGCUUGACGGAUCCCAUCAGGAACUGGAAACCUUGAAGCAGCAAGCGGGACAGGAACAGGAGAAGCUGCAGAGGUGA
Non-coding RNA from Mus caroli (Ryukyu mouse), 679 nucleotides. Lineage: Eukaryota; Metazoa; Chordata; Mammalia; Rodentia; Muridae. The record is from RefSeq and is a predicted model, not a curated record.